Molecule: ribosomal RNA, 484 nt
Filed under: uncultured bacterium
Lineage: Bacteria
Description: partial 16S ribosomal RNA
Rfam family: Bacterial small subunit ribosomal RNA
Source: RNAcentral
AUUGAACGCUGGCGGCAGGCCUAACACAUGCAAGUCGAGCGGAGGAAGGGAGCUUGCUCCUGGAUUCAGCGGCGGACGGGUGAGUAAUGCCUAGGAAUCUGCCUGGUAGUGGGGGAUAACGUCCGGAAACGGGCGCUAAUACCGCAUACGUCCUGAGGGAGAAAGAGGGGGAUCUUCGGACCUCACGCUAUCAGAUGAGCCUAGGUCGGAUUAGCUAGUUGGUGGGGUAAAGGCCUACCAAGGCGACGAUCCGUAACUGGUCUGAGAGGAUGAUCAGUCACAUGGGAACUAAGACACGGUCCAGACUCCUACGGGAGGCAGCAGUGGGGAAUAUUGGACAAUGGGCGAAAGCCUGAUCCAGCCAUGCCGCGUGUGUGAAGAAGGUCUUCGGAUUGUAAAGCACUUUAAGUUGGGAGGAAGGGCAGUAAGUUAAUACCUUGCUGUUUUGACGUUACCAACAGAAUAAGCACCGGCUAACUUCGUG